RNAcentral lists this long non-coding RNA (318 nucleotides) under Ananas comosus (pineapple). RNAcentral describes it as "long non-coding RNA (ACOM_LNC025091)". The record is from RNAcentral. Lineage: Eukaryota; Viridiplantae; Streptophyta; Magnoliopsida; Poales; Bromeliaceae.
UGACAGAAAUUUAAUCAACAUUUACUAUCAACUUUUUAAUCAUUAUAGUACCGUUUGGUUCGGGUAUAAGUAAGAACUAGCUAUUACAGGGAUAAGUACAAAUAUGGGGUUAAAAAAAAAUAGUAUUUGAAUGAAAAUUGGAUUGUUCCCGGGGAUAAGAACAAUUUUAGAUAGUUUUAUAUAGAAAAUGAAGGUGUUGAUGGGGAUAACCAAGAACUACUAUUCUCGAAUAAAAAAUUAGCGUUUGGAUAUAAACGAGGGAUAAGGGCCUAUUUCUAGUCCUAUUCCCUAACCGAGAACUACUAUUAAUUUUAUUAU